This is a long non-coding RNA of Mustela erminea (ermine), 1698 nucleotides long. RefSeq lists it as uncharacterized. The record is from RefSeq and is a predicted model, not a curated record. The transcript has 3 exons. NCBI's taxonomy places the organism in Eukaryota, Metazoa, Chordata, Mammalia, Carnivora, Mustelidae.
GGCGGGGCGGGGGCUUGCAGAGAGCCGCUCGGCACGCCUCUGGGCCUUGGGCAGAACGGGUUCAAGACCUAGCUGGCGUUUUUUCUCGGACCGUCUCGGCGCAGGCACGGAGCGGAGCCCGGGGCUCUGGGAACAAAGGGUCGGCGCCCCGGGGAAGAAGCCCACCUGGGAUGACUGUCAGCAGCUCCUGCAGGUUCUCUGUACCACUGAGGAAAGAGCGAAUCCAGGUGGAAGCCCGGAAGUCCGUCCUGGGUGUGGCCUAAGCUGAGGGCUCUCUACGAGACUGGGCCACCCCUGGGUCCCCAUCGAUAUCGGCCGGUGAUUGGGUGCACGUCCGGAGAUACCAACACCAGACACUUCAACCUCGCUGCAAGGGACUCUACAUCGUGAUCCUGACCACUCCCACUGCUCUCAAAGUCGACGGGAUUACUCCCUGGGUCCACUACACCCACAUCUGGCCAGCUGACCCACACGCUGUUCUCAAGGACUUCGUUCCAGAAUGGAAAAGCCAGCUCGAAAAGGACAAUCCCCUAAAGCUAAGACUGUGCGGUUCUCACUUACCCCACUAAUGUUGCUUAUGUUAUGUCCCCCUCAUGCCAGGGCCAAUCCCCAGCAACCACUUAACCUAACAUGGCAGGUAAUAAGUGUUUCUACAGCAGAGGUUGUAUAUUCUCUCUCAAAAAUUGCCCCACUACAGACUUGGUUCCCUGACCUUACUCUUGACCUAACAAAAAUACUUGGGAACACCCAUCUCCACGGGUUGAGAAGCCAACUAUACAAACGGCAUUUUUAUGUUUGCCCGGGACACCUUACAGGAUACUGGGCAAAACAGUGUGGGGGCCCCACCCACUUUUACUGUGCCAGCUGGAGUUGUGUCUCCACUGGCGAAAUUUGGUGGACGGCCCCCUACAAAGAUGAUUUAAUUACUCUUAAAAGAAACCACACAUUACAGAACUCUGAAACCAGUAAUCUGAUCACCCUAAAAUUCACAGAGGCCGGCAAACUAGAUACAAGAUGGCAGAUGGGACUUACUUGGGGCUUAAGAAUCUAUGACAAAGUAAGACUCGGUUACCAGGACCCGGGUGCAAUAUUCACCUUGAGACUCUCAGCCCAGAAUAACCAGGUUAGCCUAGACCCAAACCCUGUAUUAGCACCGCCCAAAACUCAGAUAAAUCCUGUUCCCCCUCCACUGCCCUCCCCUGUACCCACCAUACCAUCUGCGUCCGAGAGAUGAUCACUCCCAUCCCGACUCCCUUCCCACAAGAUCCUCCCUUCCUCAGCUCCUCUGAGCAUCCACUUUGGGACCUGAUGUUCCAAGCUUACAGGUUCCUCAACGCAACCAAGCCCAAUCUUGCCCAAUCUUACGCGAUCUUGCUGGCACUGCUAUGACAUCCAGCCUCCCUUCUAGGAGGGAAUUGUGAUGUUGGGUCAGUACAACACAGCCUCCAACCCUAAUGCCUGUAGAUGGCAUCAAAAGACUCAAGGACUCCCUUUACAAUCAGUGUCAGGUCAGGGACUCUGUACAGGCACCCUCUCACCCCAGUACCAGACCCUACGUAAUGAUAACAAGAUCUGUAUCUAGCCUAGACGACCACCUACCUCCUCAAGAUGGUUGGUGGACAUGUUCUACGGGCCUAUCCCCCUGUUUUCCUGGUCACGUUCUGAAUCAGACAAAGGGUUUCUGUGUGCUAGUUCAGC